This 301-nucleotide ribosomal RNA is filed under the name uncultured bacterium. RNAcentral describes it as "partial 16S ribosomal RNA". It matches the Rfam family "Bacterial small subunit ribosomal RNA", at positions 509 to 807 of the family's 1533-position model. The record is from RNAcentral.
CAGCCGCCGCGGGAAUACGUAGGUGGCAAGCGUUGUCCGGGAUUAUUGGGCGUAAAGGGCUCGCAGGCGGUUUCUUAAGUCUGAUGUGAAAGCCCCCGGCUCAACCGGGGAGGGUCAUUGGAAACUGGGAAACUUGAGUGCAGAAGAGGAGAGUGGAAUUCCACGUGUAGCGGUGAAAUGCGUAGAGAUGUGGAGGAACACCAGUGGCGAAGGCGACUCUCUGGUCUGUAACUGACGCUGAGGAGCGAAAGCGUGGGGAGCGAACGGGAUUAGAUACCCGUGUAGUCCCUGUCUCUUAUAC